RNAcentral lists this non-coding RNA (22 nucleotides) under Arabidopsis thaliana (thale cress). The record is from RNAcentral. Lineage: Eukaryota; Viridiplantae; Streptophyta; Magnoliopsida; Brassicales; Brassicaceae.
AAAGUGUGAGUUCUACGUCCCA